UCAAUUUAUUUUCAUUAUUAUUGUCAAUAUUCCAACAAGAUAUCGAGUCACUGUAUCAGAAAUGAAUGCAACCAAAUGGAAUAAGGAAAAUAAGGUUUACACAAGUCAAUUUUACAAGAUACAAGAUUUGCAAGGGUGUUGAGAACAUUUUCUUGCUGAGUAACUCUCUUUCUGUUUUAUUUAACUGUUCGCAUUGAUUUACUAUGAAUAUGGAAUCUGUAUUGGAACUGCAGGAACAUUGGUGGGCAUUUGUGAGCAAGUUUAUUGGAAGCGAACAUGGCUUAGCUUCCCAAAGUGAAGAACUAUCUUUUUUAUUGCCCCUGUCUCUGUGGGUGAGUACCCUUAUGCUAAGGCAAUGUAUGAUUGUAGUUGGAGUGGAUAGAGAAAGAAGGAACUAUGGUUGAACUUCUGUCUUGAAGACUUACUGAGCUUGCAUUGAUUUUUGCAUCCUCCAUGUAACUUGGUGUCCACUCUUUUUUCAACUCCAUACUCCUGCAGUUCUGCCAAUGAUGUAAUAAGUUAUUUUCAUUUGUAUGCAUCUUGAAAUGCUGAUUCGGACCGGUAUCAUGGAACGUGAUGCUGAAGUCGAUUUUAAGGUUCCAGUGGAUGAUAAACAUGGAUGUUUUCAUUUCAAAGCUGAAGAGGGAAACUGUUGAUAAGGAACCUCUUUGCUCAAUUGACCGUCUAAUAUAUGCCAUUGUUACAAACAGAAAUGCCUAUUCUUAGUACCUGAAGAGAUGCACAACCAUUGCAAUUGGUCA
Molecule: long non-coding RNA, 761 nt
Organism: Papaver somniferum (opium poppy)
Lineage: Eukaryota; Viridiplantae; Streptophyta; Magnoliopsida; Ranunculales; Papaveraceae
Exons: 3
Source: RefSeq, a predicted model, not a curated record